CAGGAUGAACGCUAGCGGCAGGCUUAACACAUGCAAGUCGAGGGGCAUCGGGUGUAGCAAUACAAUGCCGGCGACCGGCGGAAGGGUGAGUAACGCGUGAGCAACAUGCCACCUUCAGGGGGAUAGUCAUUGGAAACGAUGCGUAAUACCCGUAUGAUUGGAUGAGGCAUCUCAUUUAAUUGAAAGAUUUAUUGGGAGGUGAUUGGCUCGCGUGCCAUUAGGUAGACGGCGGGGUAACGGCCCACCGUGCCGACGAUGGCUAGGGGUUCUGAGAGGAAGAUCCCCCCACAUUGGGACUGAGACACGGCCCAGACUCCUACGGGAGGCAGCAGUGAGGAAUAUUGGACAAUGGCCGGAAGGCUGAUCCAGCCAUGCCGCGUGCGGGAGGACGGCCCCUAUGGGUUGUAAACCGCUUUUGUGUGGGGGCAAUAAGGUGCACGUGUGCACUGAUGAGAGUACCAUACGAAUAAGCAUCGGCUAACUCCGUGCCAGCAGCAGC
This 499-nucleotide ribosomal RNA is filed under the name uncultured bacterium. RNAcentral describes it as "bacterial SSU rRNA". It matches the Rfam family "Bacterial small subunit ribosomal RNA", at positions 25 to 518 of the family's 1533-position model. The record is from RNAcentral.